AACGAACGCUGGCGGCAGGCCUAACACAUGCAAGUCGAACGCCGUAGCAAGUACGGAGUGGCAGACGGGUGAGUAACACGUGGGAACGUACCCUUCGGUUCGGGAUAACUCAGGGAAACUUGGAGCUAAUACCGGAUACGUCCGAGAGGAGAAAGAUUUAUUGCCGAGGGAUCGGCCCGGCGUCUGAUUAGCUUGUUGGUGAGGUAACGGCUC
RNAcentral lists this ribosomal RNA (213 nucleotides) under uncultured bacterium. Its description in RNAcentral is "partial 16S ribosomal RNA". It matches the Rfam family "Bacterial small subunit ribosomal RNA", at positions 29 to 266 of the family's 1533-position model. The record is from RNAcentral.